Molecule: long non-coding RNA, 579 nt
Organism: Megalobrama amblycephala (Wuchang bream)
Lineage: Eukaryota; Metazoa; Chordata; Actinopteri; Cypriniformes; Xenocyprididae
Exons: 2
Source: RefSeq, a predicted model, not a curated record
AUAGAGCACUUUAUUGAAAUGUAGUUUUUUUUUUUCACCUGGGACCAUCGUGUGGCAGCAGAUAAAUACAGAAAAAUAAUAAAAACUCCCAUCUUUAUUUCUCUAAAAUGAAAUAAGAAGCUACUUACAGAUGCUCAUCUCCACAACAUGUAAUUGUAAAUGCAACACUGAUGUCUUCACUUCCAGGUCAAGAAGCUGUCAAUGAAAAACUCAGUAGCCAAUGAGAACACACCACUGCUGGUCCCACCCAAGCGAGAGCUUUGUGCCAGAAAGACGAACGAAAACUCUGGGACUGGGACUAUGGGAUCGUAAACGAAAACUUCAGAAGCAUAAAUGAAAACUUUGGAAACACAUUUGUGCACCCGCUUUGCAAACUCUGGAUUAAACCUGAGUUGAUAGAGAAAGUUUAUACCGAGCGUUGUGCAACUGUUGAUCCUGAACUAAACCAGGUUGGAUUUAUCUGGAUUUGUCAACUCCAAACCUACUCUAAAACUCACUUGUGUUUGUGUGUAAAGUUUUGUUUAUGUUAACAACUUUUGAACCGUAUGGGCUGGAAAUAAAAUUAUUUUUUUCCUCUGA